RNAcentral lists this ribosomal RNA (589 nucleotides) under uncultured bacterium. RNAcentral's name for it is "bacterial SSU rRNA". It matches the Rfam family "Bacterial small subunit ribosomal RNA", at positions 338 to 916 of the family's 1533-position model. The record is from RNAcentral.
CCUACGGGAGGCAGCAGUGGGGAAUCUUGCGCAAUGCGCGAAAGCGUGACGCAGCAACGCCGCGUGAGGGAAGACGGCCUUCGGGUUGUAAACCUCUUUCAGUUGGGACGAAGCCACGGCGGUUAAUACCCGUCUGUGGUGACGGUACCUUCAGAAGAAGCCCCGGCUAACUACGUGCCAGCAGCCGCGGUAAUACGUAGGGGGCAAGCGUUGUCCGGAAUCAUUGGGCGUAAAGCGCGUGUAGGCGGCUUGGUAAGUCCGCUCUGAAAGCCCGGGGCUCAACCCCGGGAGGCGGGUGGAUACUGUCAAGCUCGAGUCCGGAAGAGGCGAGUGGAAUUCCUGGUGUAGCGGUGAAAUGCGCAGAUAUCAGGAGGAACACCAAUGGCGAAGGCAGCUCGCUGGGACGUGACUGACGCUGAGACGCGAAAGCGUGGGGAGCAAACAGGAUUAGAUACCCUGGUAGUCCACGCCGUAAACGAUGGGCACUAGGUGUGGGAGGUGUCGACUCCUCCCGUGCCGAAGCUAACGCAUUAAGUGCCCGCCGUGGGGAGUACGGCCGCAAGGCUAAAACGUCAAAUUGAAUUGACGG